Molecule: ribosomal RNA, 253 nt
Filed under: uncultured bacterium
Lineage: Bacteria
Description: partial 16S ribosomal RNA
Rfam family: Bacterial small subunit ribosomal RNA
Source: RNAcentral
UACGGAGGGUGCAAGCGUUGUCCGGAAUCACUGGGCGUAAAGGGCGCGUAGGCGGCUCAUGAAGGCUGUGGUGAAAGUCCGGGGCUCAACCUCGGAUCGGCCGUGGCGACUCGUGGGCUGGAGCACUGUAGAGGCGGGUGGAAUUCCGGGUGUAGCGGUGGAAUGCGUAGAGAUGCGGAAGAACACCAGUGGCGAAGGCGACUUUCUGGCCUGUUCUUGACGCUGAGGCGCGAAAGCUAGGGGAGCAAACAGG